Long non-coding RNA from Coturnix japonica (Japanese quail), 1904 nucleotides. Lineage: Eukaryota; Metazoa; Chordata; Aves; Galliformes; Phasianidae. The record is from Ensembl.
AAGGUUUAAUAUGGGGCUGGGGGGGCUGGGGACACGUGUGGGUGGGGGGGGAGAAGGAAGGGGAUGGAGUGUGUGUGUGUAAGUGUGCAAGGUGAGUGUGCAAGGGGAGAUUCCAUGGGAUCUAUGGGCUGUGAGCCAUGCAAUCCCAUUAGCUGCUCCUUUGUACCCCACCAUCAUCAUCCCAAACCCAAUAGCAAACAAUAGAGUGUGGUUUAGGGGGGUUUGUUGGUGCACAUAAGUGUGCAAGGCGAGUGUGCAAGGGGAGAUCUCUAUUGGGUUCUGGGUCACACAUAUCCAGGCAGCUCUAUUAGCUGCUCCUUUGUACCCCAUGGUUUGCAUCCCAAACCCAAUAGCAAACAAUAGACUGGGGUCUGGGGGGUUUGGUGCACAUAAGUGUGCAAGAUGAGUGUGCAGGGUGAGUGUGCAAGGAGACAUCUCCAUGGGAUCUAUGGACUGUGAGCCAUUGAGCUGUAGCAGGCUCCUUUGUACCCACCAUCAUCAUCCCAACCCAAUGGGAAACAAUGACUGGGGUCUAGGGUGUUGUGGUGCACAUAAGUGUGCAAGGGGAGUGUGCAAGGGGAGUUCUCCAUGGGGUCAGGGCACUCUUAACCAUGCAGCUCCAUUAGCUGCUCCUUUGUACCCCACCAUCAUCAUCCCAAACCCAAUGUCAAUGGAUAUACUGGGGUGUUGUUGUGCACAUAAGUGUGCAAGGCGAGUGUGCAAGGGAGAGACGUCCAAGGAUCUAUGGACUGUUAGCCAUGCAGUCCCAUUAGCUGCUCCUUUGUACCCCAUGAUCAGCAGCCCAAACCCAAUGGCAAAGGAUAGAGCGGGGUCUGGGGGGUUGUUGGUGCACAUAAGUGUGCAAGGUGAGUGUGCAAGGGAAGACGUCCAUGGGCACUCUUAACCAUGCAGCCCCAUUAGCAGCCCCUUUUAACUCCAUGGUUUGCAUCCCAAACCAAUGUCAAUGGAUAUACUGGGGUCUGGGGGGCUGUUGGUGCACAUAAGUGUGCAAGAGUGAGUGUGCAGGGUGAGUGUGCAAGGAGACAUCUCCAUGGGAUCUAUGGACUGUGAGCCAUUGAGCUGUAGCUCCUUUGUACCCCACCAUCAUCAUCCCAAACCCAAUGUCAAUGGAUAUACUGGGGUCUGGGGUGUUGUUGGUGCACAUAAGUGUGCAAGGUGAGUGUGCAAGGGAAGAAUGGGGUCUGGGCACACUUAACCAUACAGCCCCAUUAGCAGCUCCUUUGAACCCCACCAUCAUCAUCCCAAACCCAAUGGCAAUGGAUAUACUGGGGUCUGGGGGGGUUGUUGGUGCACAUAAGUGUGCAAGGCGAGUGUGCAAGGUGAGUGUGCAAGGAGACAUCUCCAUUGGGUUCUGGGUCACUCUUAUCCAGGCAGCUCCAUUAGCAGCUCCUUUGAACCCCAUGAUCAGCAUCCCAAACCCAAUGGGAAACAAUAGACUGGGGUCUAUGGGGGUUGUUGGUGCACAUAAGCGUGCAAACUGAGUGUGCAAGGUGAGUGUGCAAGGGGAAACAUCCAUGGGGUUGAGAGACUAUGAGCCAUUGAGCUGUAGCUCCUUUGUACCCCACUAUCAUCAUCCCAAACCCAAUGGCAAAGGAUAUACUGGGGUAUGGGGUGUUGUUGGUGCACAUAAGUGUGCAAGGCGAGUGUGCAAGGUGAGUGUGCAAGGGGAGCUCUCCAUGGGUUCUGGGUCACUCUUAUCCAGGCAGCUCCAUUAGCAGCUCCUUUGUACCCCAUGAUCAGCAUCCCAAACCCAAUAGCAACCAAUAGAGCGUGGUCUGGGGGUUUGUUGGUGCACAUAAGUGUGCAAGGUGAGUGUGCAAGGGAAGACGUCCAUGGGAUCUAUGGGCUGUUGGCCAUGCAAUCCCAUUAGCAGCUCCUUUGUA